RNAcentral lists this ribosomal RNA (394 nucleotides) under uncultured bacterium. RNAcentral's name for it is "bacterial SSU rRNA". It matches the Rfam family "Bacterial small subunit ribosomal RNA", at positions 917 to 1341 of the family's 1533-position model. The record is from RNAcentral.
GGAUUCAUACAAUUCGUGGAACAUGUGGUUUAAUUCGUAAAUACACGCAAAACCUUACCAACUUUUGAAUAAUUUUAUAUUCUAAUGAAGAAAUUCGUUAUGUUAAAAUUACAGGUGCUGCAUGGCUGUCGUCAGCUCGUGUCGUGAGAUGUUCGGUUAAGUCCGGCAACGAGCGCAACCCACAUCCCUAGUUGCCAGCAGUUCGGCUGGGCACUCUAUGGAAACUGCCCGUGAUAAGCGGGAGGAAGGUGUGGAUGACGUCAAGUCCUCAUGGCCCUUACGGGUUGGGCUACACACGUGCUACAAUGGUGGUGACAAUGGGUUAAUCCCAAAAGCUAUCUCAGUUCGGAUUGUCGUCUGCAACUCGACGGCAUGAAGUCGGAAUCGCUAGUAA